RNAcentral lists this long non-coding RNA (965 nucleotides) under Pongo abelii (Sumatran orangutan). RNAcentral describes it as "lncRNA (ENSPPYG00000036554.1)". The record is from RNAcentral. Lineage: Eukaryota; Metazoa; Chordata; Mammalia; Primates; Hominidae.
CCCAGACCACUCCCCCCAAGUCACCAGCCAGCACACCAAGCCCAGAAAAAAGUUUCUUUCUUUUUAAUUAAACCAGCUUUAAUUAAAAAUAAUAAUAACCCAGUAAGUCCUAAGUUUUCCAGGGGGUGGGGCAGACCUAAAGGCCCACCAACUCCCCUUUCAGUCAGGAGCCCUGGUGCUGCCUGUCUCUAAAAUCUCCAAGAAGUGUCCUCAGGGCGUGAAGAAGGCAGCCAGGUGUGUCUACGUGAAAGGGGGGCUCUCUCCCAGGAAGAAGCUGAGGGCAGACAGCUCCUGAGGGCAAAGCCUGGGCCUCAUCCUCUUGUGGAUCCAGGAGAGCAGUCGCUGAAGAGAAAGAGGAAGAAAAGGAGUGGCUAGGAAAGAAAGUUUAUUUCCACUGCAGGAAGCACUGCCUCCCAUCUGAGAAAUGUCCCAAGCAGGAAUCAGGAAUUCAUCCUGAGGGGAUGUGCCGAGUGAUGUACGUUCAAAGAUGCUCAUCACUGUGUUAUUUAUCAUAGAGGAGAAAUUGAACCUAAUAUUCCUGGGAGUACAAAGUCGUGAAGGAAAAGCCUCAUUGAAGAAGAGUAACCUAAGAGAAGCAGGUUCUGCUCUGAUGAACUCCCAUAAAGGCGUUCCCAUAAAGGUGUGAGCCUGAGUGAUAAUCUAGAUAUGGUACGGUUGACAUCAGGUAUAUGGCGGCAGCCAGAAAUUCAACUUUGUCCAUCAGCCUCUGCACAACAGGAAAGAUGGUGACCUUCCAGGCUUAUCUGAGGUCCAAGAGUAACAUCACAAACACAGUAACUACACCCAGCCAAAGAAAAGCAUACCUGAAUCCAAGAGAGUAUUAGCACUGGCCUCAGGGAUGAGGAAAUAAAGGAGUAAGUGAUUAGGACCAUUGUUUUCCUUUCUCUUUGGUACAAAAUAAAUGAGCUUCCUUUCUUUCAUUAAAAAUAAAUGUUUACAAUUAA